This 434-nucleotide ribosomal RNA is filed under the name uncultured Faecalibacterium sp. RNAcentral's name for it is "partial 16S ribosomal RNA". It matches the Rfam family "Bacterial small subunit ribosomal RNA", at positions 341 to 792 of the family's 1533-position model. Lineage: Bacteria; Bacillati; Bacillota; Clostridia; Eubacteriales; Oscillospiraceae. RNAcentral also lists the same sequence under 1 other name. The record is from RNAcentral.
ACGGGAGGCAGCAGUGGGGAAUAUUGCACAAUGGGGGAAACCCUGAUGCAGCGACGCCGCGUGGAGGAAGAAGGUCUUCGGAUUGUAAACUCCUGUCGUUGAGGACGAUAAUGACGGUACUCAACAAGAAAGCCACGGCUAACUACGUGCCAGCAGCCGCGGUAAAACGUAGGUGGCAAGCGUUGUCCGGAAUUACUGGGUGUAAAGGGAGCGCAGGCGGAUCGGCAAGUUGGAAGUGAAACCCGGGGGCUCAACCCCCGGCCUGCUUCCAAAACUGUCGGUCUUGAGUAGUGCAGAGGUAGGCGGAAUUCCCGGUGUAGCGGUGGAAUGCGUAGAUAUCGGGAGGAACACCAGUGGCGAAGGCGGCCUACUGGGCACCAACUGACGCUGAGGCUCGAAAGUAUGGGUAGCAAACAGGAUUAGAUACCCUGGUA